This 368-nucleotide ribosomal RNA is filed under the name uncultured bacterium. RNAcentral describes it as "bacterial SSU rRNA". It matches the Rfam family "Bacterial small subunit ribosomal RNA", at positions 362 to 762 of the family's 1533-position model. The record is from RNAcentral.
UAUUGGACAAUGGGCGCAAGCCUGAUCCAGCCAUGCCGCGUGGAUGAUGAAGGCCUUAGGGUUGUAAAGUCCUUUUAACGGGGAAGAUAAUGACGGUACCCGUAGAAUAAGCCCCGGCUAACUUCGUGCCAGCAGCCGCGGUAAUACGAAAGGGGGCUAGCGUUGCUCGGAAUUACUGGGCGUAAAGCGCACGUAGGCGGGUUCUUAAGUCGGUGGUGAAAUCCUGGAGCUCAACUCCAGAACUGCCUUCGAUACUGGGAAUCUUAGUCCGGGAGAGGUGAGGUGAACUGCGAGUGAGAGGUAAAUUCGAGUUUCGCAAGACACCAGUGGCAAGCGGCUCACUGGCCCGUCUGCGUGCGUGAAAUCGU